CUUCCAUAUGCACCAUAACAUGACCAUCACUGCUUCCCCUUUCUAUUUUCCAUCAAGCUGUUGAAAAGUUAAUCUCAUCACAUUGUGUAUGUCAGAUGUUCUGGGCGGUGCUAAUCUAAUUGUCUGCCAGCUUCUUCUUGUGAAAUUGCGCCUGAGAAAGAGAUGGGUAACCGUUUCUUCUUUGUGUAGAAUAAAAACCUGAUGAGCCUGACGAUGAUCUUCUUGCGAAACUGCUGUCUUAAAAUCAAGAUUAUCUUCUGCUGGCGCGCUCUGACGAUGAUGAGCUAGAGGAUCGGAUCGGAGAAUCAAAACCCUGAUGAGCAUGCACAUGCACAUGCACCUCGAUCGAUGCAUCGCAGAUCAUGCCAUCGUCCCUUGUCCAUGAUCUAUCUCCAUGGACAAUGCAUUAAAAAAUUUGAUGAGCCUGACGUACGAUUGCAUGCAUGUCGGACCAGAAUCUCGGUUUUCAUAUAUUGCGUGCCCUGACCAUGCGCGGUUGUUUUGCUCGGAUUCCUUUCUGCGCCCUUGAUUUGGCUGCAGAGCAUGCACCUCGAUCGAUGAGGUGAGUUGGAUUAAUUUGCUGAUAUAUGUUGGACGGACGCGCGGACGCAGAUGAUGCAGCAUACCCAUCCCUUGUCCUCGGCCAUAAAGAGUCACAACCAAUUGAAAAAAAUAUAUUAUCCUCUUUUGAUCCAAUCAAGCUAGCCAAAUCUACUAUAAAAAUAUAAUAAUUAAAGAUCAUAUUAGAGAAGAUGGCAAUAUUGCUCUAGGGUAGAGCUAAACCAUGCCAAAUACCCCUCGAUAAGAAUUAAAGAGUCUUAGGUAAUAAUAAUAUCUACUAUUCAUCUGCAGACCAUUGUUUUAAUUUUAGCUACACCAUUCAGUUAGAUGGUUUAAUUGGAUCUAAUGAUCAUCGACCAUUUAGCAGGGGACGGGACUACAGUAGUGUCAUGGGUAUUAAAAUGAAUACCUAAUUUUUUUUGUCAAAUAAAUAAGUACAGUAGAUGCAGAUUUACUUCCUGCAACCAUUCCAAGUUACAAGCCCCCUCUGUCGAAUGGUGUCCGGCCGGCCAUCUCUUAGCCAAAGGGACACUACCAAUUUACGCAUUACGCUGUCUUGCCCGGGGACGACUGCUUCCUCACUUUUCCCCCGGAUGAAGCAGACAAUUCCAAGGCUUACCUAAUGUAUGAGAAAAGUUCUGUCCUGGUUUCAGAAACCAAAAGACAAUAAGAUUUAUGUUCGGAGAGGAAGCUAGCAUAGACACACUUCGAAUGGUAAGUCGCCAAGACUCAAGUGGUGGAUCUGAGACGGUAGGUUAUACUAGUUCAGGCUUGCGUCCUAGUCUAGUGUAGUGCUGAUCGUAAUAUUGUUGAGAGUGUGAUACAAUUGGUGUGCUCGUAUGUCGUUCGAAGAAAGGACAUCUCCCUUUUAUAUGUCAAGAGAGAAGCCUUAUAAUGGGACCCCUUCCUCGCUGAGGAGAGAUAGGGAGAGAGAGAGCCCUAUAUGCCUGGGUCAACGAACUGGGUCAUCUUUCUUGUGCGUGGUCAUACCCUGAUAUGGCAAUGUCCCUCAUGUCGGUUACUAUAGCGAGCCUGUUGCUAGCCCUAGUGGCAGUAUGUGGCGGGUUCCGCUAGCCUGUCUCGGGAUACGAUUGUACGCGGCAUGGCUUCGCCCGCUGCACGCCUUGCGUCUCCUCCCAUCGCACCUGAUACAUACGAUUGUGUGCGCACGUUCGAGUGUGGCAUGGUGAUGACAUGUCUUGUCGUGAUGGACGGGUUUAGGUCUCCACCUCAUGGGCACAAAUACUUGGUUGGUAGCUCCGCCUCGCAAGCUUUGCUCGGCGGGGACAUGGUUGGUCACUCCGCCUCAUCGGUUUGCCGGGUGGUGGCUUGGUCGGCAGCCUCACCUGGCUAACUUGCUCGACGGGGACUUGGUUGGUAGCCUCGUCUCGCUGACUUGCUUGUCGGAGACUUGGUCGGCCGCUCCGCCCGCCGGCUUGCUCGCCGAGGACCUGGUUUGAUAAUAAGGUUACGAGCUUACUUAGGGUACCUCGUCCUUGGUACCCCACAAGUUCUAUUGCUAAAAUUGCUUUGAAGAGAGGAGUACAACUUACCACUAGUGAGAGGGUGGUUGAAGAUAUUGAAAAAUUAACAGGUGGUGUGAUGCUUUCAAGGAACAAUAUUUAUAGUCUUCUAUAGAGGGAAGGAUUUCUUGUCCUCACAACUUGCAGCGGCGCUACUAGAGAGGGAAAGAUUAGCAAAGUCACGCCAAGAUGAAGAGGAAGCAUGGCAAAAAUCAGUGUCUUAUUUUUCAAGUGUCGAGGCAUAUCUACAGUAUACUGUAGCUAGUACUCUAGGAGAGACUCUGGACGCUAACUCUAAAUAUGGAAGUGAUCGAACUUGAUAAGAAUCAUGCGGAAACAAUGGCAAGAAUUGUUGAAGUUGUGCAAGGACAUGCUGACCUCUCGUAAGAAAUCUAGAGUGGAAGUUAUCACUUUGCACAGAUAAAUAUAGAGAAAGCUGAAAGGGUAUUAGGAAAGGUUGCGACAGCCCACAGGCCGCCAGCUGAAGAUUCUAGACCUCCUGAAACAAUAACAGAUGAAGAGAGGUCCAUGUUUCGAAAACUUGGUCUAAGGAUCAAGGCAUUUCUGCUCCUCGGUAAUUCCAUUCUCUUUAUUGUUUUUGAGUGGCGGGGGCAAUGACAGGAUUGACGGCGCCUUCUUUGUUUUCUUUUGGUUUUAGCUUUAUGAGACUUUGUUCUGGCAUGAUGUGGCUGUUAAAGUUUUCUCCAAGCAAGAAUAUUCAGAAGAAGUGAUAUCGACCUUUAGACAAGAGGUAGACAUCCAUCAUCAGCAACAACUUAUGCCAAUUUCUAAUAAUAUAUAUGGAUAUGCAGAUCAGCUUUGAGCUGUAGAGUAAUCUACACUAAACCCUAAACCCCAAACCCUGCCCGCGCCCCACCAUUCACGGCCACGUCCGCCACCGACAUCCUUCGCGCAUGCGCCCCACCAUUCACGCCUCUGCGCGCUAGCCCCGCCAAUUCCCUUCCAUCCCGCCUCUUCCCCGCCCGACUCCUCUCAGCUCGUCUCCUCUUUCCCACGAGACGACUUAACUCCCUCUCCCAAACCCUAGGGAUCGAGCCCACCUCCUCAACGAGACGCCCAUGGGCCUUGGCGGUGGCGGCCCCCUCCCCAGUUUAGGAGGCAACACACGCGACACACCCUGUUUCUCCUGGUGGCAAUGACAAAUCUGGGGCACUGCGGUGACAGUGGCGGGUGCUGCCUCCUCAACGAGGCACCCAUGGGACAUGGCGUUGGUUCCUCCAGCCGCCCCCAUCCCAGGCACGCAAAACUCUCGGAUCUAUCGCUCCUCCACGUUCUCGUCAUCGUGGGUUCCUCUGCGAGGUCGAGCUCAGCCUCCUCCAUAGCAACCUCCCUGCCCUGCCCUCGACCGUGCCCCCACUCGCUUCCCCUCCCCUGCGUAUUUGCUCGGCCCCACUAUUGCCUCCUCACUUGCCGCCGUUGAGGACAAUGACUGCGAGGCUACGACUCACCCGAGGCCAACCUCGGACGGGAGAGGUAGUCACGACUCGCCUGAGGCCAACACCGAGCAGGAGACACAUCCACGACUCGCCUGAGACCAAGCCUGGAUGGGAGACACAAUCACGACUCACUCGAGGCCAACACUAGGCAGGAGACACGGUCAUGACUCACCCAAGGAGAAGGCCGGGCAAGAGACGCAGUCACGACUCACCCGAGGCCAUCCUCAGGCGGGAGACACAGUCGUGAAUCGCCCAAGGCCAAGCUCGGGUGGCAGACGCAGUCACGACUCGCCUGUGGCCAAUUUCGAGCGAUACAGGCAGUCACAACUCACCCGGAGCCAACCCCGGGUGGGAGAUGUAGUAACGACUCGCUCAAGGCCACCCCUGGGUGGUAGACGUAGUCACGACUCCCCCGAGGCCAACCCCGGGCGAGAGAUGCAGUGACAACUCGCCCGAGGUAAACCUCGAGUGGGAGACGCAGUGACGACUCGUCUGAGACCAAGCCCGGGCGGGAGACGCAGUCAUGACUCACCCGAGGCCAUCCUCGGGUGGGACAGGCAGUCACGACUUGCUCGAGGCCAACCCUGGGGGGGAGAGGUAGUCAAGACUCGCCCGAGGCCAUUCUCGAGCGGGAGACACAAUCAUGACUCGCUCGAGGCCAACCCCAGACAGAAGAUGUACUCAUGACUCGCUCGAGGCCAACCUCAGACGGGAGACACAGUCACGACGGCUCGGGGCCAUCCCCGGGAGAAAGACGCAGUCACGACUCGUCUGAGGCUAAGACCGGGCAGGAAACGCAAUCACGACUCGCCCAAGGCCAUCCUCGGGCGGGACAGGCAUUCACGACAUGCUCGUGGCCAACCCCAGGCGGGAGACGAAGUCACGACUCAUCCGAGGCCAUCCUCGGCCGGGAGACACAGUCACAACUCGCUCGAGGCCAACCUCGGGAUGGACAGACUGUCAUGACUCUCUUGAGGCCAUCCUUGGGCGGGACAGGCAGUCACGACUCGCCUGUGGCCAACCUCGAGCGGAAGACACAAUCAUGUCUCGCCCGAGGCCAAUCUCGAGUGGAAGACACAGUCACGUCUGACCCGACACCAAGCCCAGGUAGGAGACACAGUCAUGACUUGCCCGAGGCCACCCCUGGGAAGAACACGCAGUCACGACUCGCUCAAGACCAACCUCGGGCGGGAGAGGCAGUCACGACUCGCUCUAGGCCAACCCCGGGUAGAAGACCCAGUCACGACUCGCCCAAGGCCAACCCUAAGCGGGAGAGGCAGUCACGACUCGCCCGAGGCCAAGCCCUAGUGGGAGACGCAGUCACGACUCGCCCGAGGCCAAGCCCAAGCGGGAGACAUAGUCACGACGCGCCCGAGGCCAUCCUCGGGCGGGACAUACAUUGACGACUUGCUCAAGGCCACCCCGGCUGGGAGAGGUAGUCACGACAUGCCCGAGGCCAACCUCGGGUGGGAGACUCAGUCACGAUUCGCCCGAGGUCAUCCCAUGGCGGGAGACGCAGUCACGACUCGCCCGAGGCCAACCCCAGGCAGAAGACGCAGUCACGACUCGCCCGAGGCCAACCUUGGGCAAGAGACGCGGUCAUGACUCACCCGAGGACAUCUCGGGUGGUGCUCUAGCAAUAAUAGGAAUAAUUUGUGCGAUAUUGAUAAUUUUUGCCACACUGAUUUUGCAUAUCAUAGUGAUGUUUGUCAUUCCAUAUCUAUGUUUCAUACAAAUUUUUUACUCUCGUUGCAACGCACGAACGCAUAUCUAUCAUAGUAAUAUCUGUCAUUCCGUAUCUAUGUUUCAUACUAAUUUUUAACUCCCAUGGCAUCACACAGGCAUAGACCUAGUUAUUAAGUUAUGAACCAAAAUACUGAGAAACUUCAAACAAAUUAAAUACAAAUUGUGUAUCCAUUUUAGGUUUCAUGCCUAACCUACCAAUCUUGCCACCAAAUAUAUUGAUCUAUAGAUAGACAUAAAAAUAAUGUGCUCAUAGAUCUUCAUAUAUGUUUUCUUUAGAGUUGAUUAUGGAAAAUUGUAGUGAAGCCUAUGCUAACUUCAUAUUUUGUGGCUUUCAUACCAAAGGUGUCACACUUAAAUUAUAACACUGAUAUCAUUUAUAUGCAAAGGUAUCCCUCUUAUGAAGAAAUUGUGCCAUCAUAACAUACUGCUCUUCAUAGGGGCAUUUAUGCCUCCACAAAGGCAUUGUAUUGUUACAGAGUUUCUUCCUUGGUAUGUCCCUACUUUGUGUACGAGCAUACAUGUUCGCGAGCGUUUGUUAUUAUGUGACAUUUCCUCAUUGUUUCACAUCUACAUGAGUUGAGCCAGGAAAUUUGUUUGCAUCUGGUUGAAUGUUUCGACUACAACAAUGAUUGUUGCAUAAGGAAAAGGAAUUUUAAAUUCAGAAAAUCAAGGCUUGGUUUAAGUUGAGAAGUCAUUUGCAUGCAUUUUGUUGGUGGAAGUGGGUAUCCUGUAAAAGUAGUAUUAUAUUGUAAAAUGCUUAUCUACAAAUCAUAAUACCUUCACUACUAGGAAAUCAGUAAAUCACCCUCUUGCAAUGGGUAAAGUUUUUUUUGCAAAAAAAGCCAUAAAUCAUGGCAAGUUCUACCAUUUGACAUAAUUUCACUUUCGGUGCCGACCGCUGCUGAAAACAAAGUGGAAAAAGCUUAUGGCAACGGUUUUUUGCCCCAUUGCAAUAGCUCUAGUUGUCACAAUAAAACAUAAUGCUACAGUCCAUAUUAGUUGCAUCGACCAAAUAACACUAAAAAGGAAAAAUAUCAAAUCUAGGAAUCGAACUUAGGUCUCAUUGUUCAUAAAAAUAACUAAAUAUAUUAAGAUGCUUAUUUUUGCCAAUGACAUUACAACUUUUACAACAAAAUUAGUAUAUAUUGCCUCCAUUCAGAUCUUUGUUGCAAUACACACCAUGAUUUUGCAACGAAUAGUACAAUAAUAGCUACAAAAGAUAUUUGUGGCAAUAUAGGUAACUAUACUGCAACCCUUUUUAUUUUAUGGCAAGAAGCAUCAUAGUUUUGCAACGGAAUGCAAUAGUAUCGCAACCACAUGAAACUUGUCGCAAUACUAAUUAACAUAUUGCAGUGAUUUUGUACAUUGUGACAAUAACACCUACCUCUUACAAAAAAACUAAUACUUAUUGCAACAUAAAGAAAUCAUGGCAAUAAAGUCUACAUAUCACAACCAUUUUUCAAAGUUGUGGCAAUAACACAUAGUUAUUGCAACAAAAUUUGUGUUGUUGCAGUAUGAUCUGUGGCAAUAUACCAAUUUUCUAGUAGUGUUUGUCCAACCUUAGGCAACUUGGAUGCAUGUAUAUAAAUAUAAAAUGAAAAUGUCUAACCUAGACGAUACUCUCCCUGGUACAAAGUUCAAAGUAUAUGUUGUUUAUGAAUUCCUACAGAUCAAACCUUUUUCUGUUUUCAUCUGGAGGAUUGCAGCUUGUCGUUCUACUGGCAUCUAUAUUGGCGAUAAGUUCUAUGAUCGAUUCAUGUUGAUAUCAUUUGUAUGGAGCCAGAGUUUUCAUGCUACAAGUUAUUAUACUUGGUUUGCACAUCAUAAUUAUUUUUGCCAUCACAAAGGGAAACUGAACAUUUAUGGUUUCUUUUGCCAAGUCACAAUUGUUAGAAACACAAGGUCUACUACAAAAUUCCUGACGUUCCCAAGGAUGCAUCAUAGGAUGACAUCAAAAAUGCAUUUCAUUCUGUGAGUAUCAUUAUAGUUUAGUUGAUCUUGAGAUAUUCCAAAGCUUGCUCAUGAUUGGACUGUUUAUUUAUGUCGUUGGCCAUGCUGUGAAUCGAUCUAAUAGCCAUUGAUCAAGUGGCAAUAUCGAUCACAUGUUUCCUAUCUUUUCAUGUCAACAUGAUUUUGCACAUUUCUGAAGAAGGCACUACAUGUGUGAUCCUUCACUUGUUGUGUUGCUUCAUUAGGAUACUGUCAAUUGCCAAAAAAAAUUGGCAGUGUCCUAUCUUUUCACGUUGUUGCUAUCGUGCACAUCUGUAACAACACUAUCAAUUGACAAAAAUGCACAAUAGAUCAACGUGAUUUGGUACUUGGCGAAUUCUAGUAAGAAGUGUAUCUAACUCACUGCAUGCGCGCAGGAGGAGGAGGCAAUGGGCAAGCCUUUCUCCAUCGCUGCCAUCAUACUCUACUUCUCGUUUUGUCACGCCCCUCACCGGCAUCUCCUCCCCUAUGCUAGACAGAUCCCUCGGCUACCCAUCACAGAGGUGCUCACCUCUGGAUCGGUCGAGCGAAUGUGUAGAUCCAUUUGUACGCCCGAUUCAUCACUCUACGAUUUUGUUCUCUCCCUUGGUCUGUUUCCUUGCUCAUCUCGAUUGAUUUAGGUCACUGAGAUUUUGAGUUUGUUUAUGCUUGCGGAUUAUUUACCUUGUGAUCCUUUUGGGAAUUGCUAUAUGUGUGUCACAAACAAGUUGCCCAUGACAUCUAAUCUAUGUAUGGAAAACCAACCUGGUGUGAGAUUAUGGAUCAUACUGAAAUCCUGAAUCAUGGUGAUUAUGAUACAAACAAUUCAAAAUCAAACAUGUUUCGAUUGAGUUGAAAUGGAGUGAUUGGAUCCAAAAUACGGAUUCUUGAUCCAGGAAGGGGAAUUUUUGUGCCCGCAUGGGCGACACCAUCUAGAAACCAGGAAAAAAAUGGGUGAGAUCCGAAUUCAGAUGGCCUUCCUGAAAAAGGUACAAAAGUGAUAUCAAAAAGGAAAAACCUGGAAGAUGGGGGGCUAAAGGAUAUAAUACCUGAAUCAAGGUUUAUUACUUCACAUUACCCGAUCAAAUCGGCAGAUCCCUCAUUCCCCUCCCUCUACGAUUGUGAAAAACCCUAAAUCUUUCACCAUCUCGCAUCUCAAUAGAUUUAUCGGACAUCUCUGGGGGAAACUGAUGAGAUCCUUUGCGAGUGUUAUAAAUAAUACUUAUGCCCUGUCACCCUGGUGAAGAUGCAACCAAGGGGAUCCGGAAGGCGCGGAGGUGUUGUGUCCCGUGGAGCCGGUCGUAGAUCGACACAUGAGAAUAUGUGGUGAAGAGUGGAUGAAGGCUCCUCAAGUGCUCAAAGGAUGGAAAUGGAUCCAUAUGAUGAUGGGGAUCUAGGAGAGGAAGAAGAAACUUGUAACACCCUGAAUUUUGGGGUAUAAAGAUUUCUUUGCGCUUUACUCAAAAUUGACGUGUUACUCUUUCCUUUCUUCACUUUUCUUUUCCCUUUAUCAAAACAAUAGAAAGUUAUUUUGGUUCUAUGUUCGCGUGAGCCUAGAAGUGUCAUGAUUGUUGCAUUCAUGUUGUUGCAUAGUGUUUCUAAGUGCAAAAAGUGUUUAAAACAUGUUAAUA
Molecule: long non-coding RNA, 8886 nt
Organism: Zea mays
Lineage: Eukaryota; Viridiplantae; Streptophyta; Magnoliopsida; Poales; Poaceae
Exons: 5
Source: RefSeq, a predicted model, not a curated record